GGCUUGAUGGUCUAGUGGUAUGAUUCUCGCUUUGGGUGCGAGAGGCCCCGUGUUCGAUCCACGGUCAAGCCC
This 72-nucleotide transfer RNA is filed under the name Dactylellina haptotyla CBS 200.50. RNAcentral's name for it is "tRNA-Pro (TGG) (tRNA-Pro-TGG-1 1 to 3)". It matches the Rfam family "tRNA". From Rfam's summary of the family: Transfer RNA (tRNA) molecules are approximately 80 nucleotides in length. Lineage: Eukaryota; Fungi; Ascomycota; Orbiliomycetes; Orbiliales; Orbiliaceae. The record is from RNAcentral.